GGAGCGGUAGUUCAGCUGGUUAGAAUACCUGCCUGUCACGCAGGGGGGCGCGGGUUCGAGUCCCGUCCGUUCCG
RNAcentral lists this transfer RNA (74 nucleotides) under [Haemophilus] ducreyi 35000HP. RNAcentral's name for it is "Haemophilus ducreyi 35000HP tRNA". It matches the Rfam family "tRNA". From Rfam's summary of the family: Transfer RNA (tRNA) molecules are approximately 80 nucleotides in length. Their secondary structure includes four short double-helical elements and three loops (D, anti-codon, and T loops). The record is from Rfam by way of RNAcentral. Lineage: Bacteria; Pseudomonadati; Pseudomonadota; Gammaproteobacteria; Pasteurellales; Pasteurellaceae.